UUGUACACAACCGCCCGUGCACACCACGAGAUGUAUGUACAACACAGCUGAAGUCGGUACCCUAACCUUCGGAGCCAGCCGCCGAAGUGGGUAGAUAUGGGGUGAAGUCGUAACAAGGUAGCCGUACGGAAGGUGCGGCUGGAUCACCUCCUUCU
RNAcentral lists this ribosomal RNA (155 nucleotides) under chlamydia-associated clinical sample 589-S. Its description in RNAcentral is "partial 16S ribosomal RNA". It matches the Rfam family "Bacterial small subunit ribosomal RNA", at positions 1381 to 1533 of the family's 1533-position model. The record is from RNAcentral.